This 253-nucleotide ribosomal RNA is filed under the name uncultured bacterium. RNAcentral describes it as "partial 16S ribosomal RNA". It matches the Rfam family "Bacterial small subunit ribosomal RNA", at positions 524 to 776 of the family's 1533-position model. The record is from RNAcentral.
UACGGAGGGUGCAAGCAUUGAUCGGAAUUACUGGGCGUAAAGGGCGCGUAGGCGGCACGAUAAGUCGGAUGUGAAAUUCCGGGGCUCAACCCCGGAGCUGCAUUUGAAACUGUCGAGCUAGAGUACAGUUAGGGUAAACGGAAUUCCACGUGUAGCGGUGAAAUGCGUAGAUAUGUGGAAGAACACCGGUGGUGAAAACGGUUUACUGGGCUGAAACUGACGCUGAGGCGCGAAAGCAUGGGGAGCAAACAGG